GACACACACCCGUCGUGCGGUGCGGGCAAAAUACUUGUGUAUGCCCAGUACAGACAAUACACGCUCCUACGUCUCACAACAAGAACUCAGUCUUAGUGGUAAGUGUAGGGUCGAAUCCCACAGGGAGUGAGGAACCACUUUGUUCUCCAACGACAAACUGAGGUGUCACAAUUCUCAAUCUGUAUACUCUGCACAAGAAAUUAACAAGAUCAAUAAUAACAAGGGGUGAGG
This 231-nucleotide long non-coding RNA is filed under the name Salvia miltiorrhiza (redroot sage). Its description in RNAcentral is "long non-coding RNA (SMIL_LNC002396)". Lineage: Eukaryota; Viridiplantae; Streptophyta; Magnoliopsida; Lamiales; Lamiaceae. The record is from RNAcentral.